RNAcentral lists this ribosomal RNA (253 nucleotides) under uncultured bacterium. RNAcentral describes it as "partial 16S ribosomal RNA". It matches the Rfam family "Bacterial small subunit ribosomal RNA", at positions 524 to 776 of the family's 1533-position model. The record is from RNAcentral.
UACAGAGACUGCAAGCGUUAUUCGGAUUCACUGGGCGUAAAGGGUGCGCAGGCGGUUGAGUGUGUCAGAUGUGAAAUCCCGAGGCUCAACCUCGGAACUGCGUCUGAAACUACUCGACUAGAGUACUGGAGAGGGUAACGGAAUUCACGGUGUAGCAGUGAAAUGCGUAGAUAUCGUGAGGAACACCAGAGGCGAAGGCGGUUACCUGGACAGUUACUGACGCUCAGGCACGAAAGCAUGGGGAGCAAAAGGG